GAUGAACGCUGGCGGCGUGCCUAAUACAUGCAAGUCGAGCGAACGGACGAGAAGCUUGCUUCUCUGAUGUUAGCGGCGGACGGGUGAGUAACACGUGGAUAACCUACCUAUAAGACUGGGAUAACUUCGGGAAACCGGAGCUAAUACCGGAUAAUAUUUUGAACCGCAUGGUUCAAAAGUGAAAGACGGUCUUGCUGUCACUUAUAGAUGGAUCCGCGCUGCAUUAGCUAGUUGGUAAGGUAACGGCUUACCAAGGCAACGAGGCAUAGCCGACCUGAGAGGGUGAUCGGCCACACUGGAACGUAGACACGGUCCAGACUCCUACGGGAGGCAGCAGUAGGGAAUCUUCCGCAAUGGGCGAAAGCCUGACGGAGCAACGCCGCGUGAGUGAUGAAGGUCUUCGGAUCGUAAAACUCUGUUAUUAGGGAAGAACAUAUGUGUAAGUAACUGUGCACAUCGUGACGGUACCUAAUCAGAAAGCCACGGCUAACUACGUG
Molecule: ribosomal RNA, 497 nt
Filed under: uncultured bacterium
Lineage: Bacteria
Description: partial 16S ribosomal RNA
Rfam family: Bacterial small subunit ribosomal RNA
Source: RNAcentral